RNAcentral lists this ribosomal RNA (253 nucleotides) under uncultured bacterium. Its description in RNAcentral is "partial 16S ribosomal RNA". It matches the Rfam family "Bacterial small subunit ribosomal RNA", at positions 524 to 776 of the family's 1533-position model. The record is from RNAcentral.
UACGAAGGGGGCGAGCGUUGUUCGGAUUUACUGGGCGUAAAGGGCGCGCAGGCGGCUCAUUUUGUCAGGCGUGAAAGCCCCGGGCUUAACCUGGGAACUGCGUUUGAUACGGAUGGGCUAGAGUUCGGGAGAGGAGAGUGGAAUUCCGGGUGUAGCGGUGGAAUGCGUAGAGAUCCGGAAGAACACCGGUGGCGAAGGCGGCCUGCUGGGCAGUUGCUGACACUGAGGCGCGACAGCGUGGGGUGCAAACAGG